Paramuricea clavata is the source of this 246-nucleotide non-coding RNA. Lineage: Eukaryota; Metazoa; Cnidaria; Anthozoa; Malacalcyonacea; Plexauridae. The record is from the annotation of a GenBank genome assembly.
CAUUUGCAUUAUAGACUGAAUUUUGAUCUGGACAAAAAUUUCAUCACAGCUUGAAAGAGCAUCACAAAAUUAGUAAUAUUCCAAAGUUUCGUUGCGAAAUGUUGUAAAAUGCGGAUAAUAUAGCCAUGCGAAGUUUGCCGUUUUUCAGUCAUUUUGUAUUACGCACGGGAAAUUGACAGCCCAAUCGGGUGUUGGGGCAUCAAUUUCCGUUUGUAAUACAAAAUGACUGAAAAUUGCAAAUUUCGC